UAAAGCGCGCGUAGGUGGUUUGUUAAGUUGGAUGUGAAAUCCCCGGGCUCAACCUGGGAACUGCAUUCAAAACUGACUGACUAGAGUAAGGUAGAGGGUGGUGGAAUUUCCUGUGUAGCGGUGAAAUGCGUAGAUAUAGGAAGGAACACCAGUGGCGAAGGCGACCACCUGGACUAAUACUGACACUGAGGUGCGAAAGCGUGGGGAGCAAACAGGAUUAGAUCCCCUGU
Molecule: ribosomal RNA, 230 nt
Filed under: uncultured bacterium
Lineage: Bacteria
Description: partial 16S ribosomal RNA
Rfam family: Bacterial small subunit ribosomal RNA
Source: RNAcentral